UGGGGAAUAUUGGACAAUGGGCGCAAGCCUGAUCCAGCCAUGCCGCGUGGGUGAAGAAGGCCUUAGGGUUGUAAACCCCUUUCAGCGGGGAAGAUAAUGACGGUACCCGCAGAAGAAGCCCCGGCUAACUCCGUGCCAGCAGCCGCGGUAAUACGGAGGGGGCUAGCGUUGUUCGGAAUUACUGGGCGUAAAGCGCGCGUAGGCGGACUUUCAAGUCAGGGGUGAAAUCCCGAGGCUCAACCUCGGAGCUGCCUUUGAUACUGAUAGUCUUGAGUCCGAGAGAGGUGAGUGGAAUUCCUAGUGUAGAGGUGAAAUUCGUAGAUAUUGGGAGGAACAUCAGUGGCGAAGGCGGCCACCUGGACGGUGACUGACGCUGAGACGCGAAAGCGUGGGGAGCAAACAGGAUUAGAUACCCCCGUAGUCC
RNAcentral lists this ribosomal RNA (424 nucleotides) under uncultured prokaryote. RNAcentral's name for it is "bacterial SSU rRNA". It matches the Rfam family "Bacterial small subunit ribosomal RNA", at positions 355 to 796 of the family's 1533-position model. The record is from RNAcentral.